AGAGUUUGAUCAUGGCUCAGAGUGAACGUUGGCGGCGUGGAUUAGGCAUGCAAGUCGAGCGAUCGUAGCAAUACGGGAGCGGCAAACGGGGUAGGAAUACAUCGGAACGUACCUUUUGGUUGAGAAUAGCGUUGGGAAACUGACGGUAAUACUCAAUAAAGUCGAGAGACCAAAGGUUUACUGCCGGAAGAGCGGCCGAUGCGAUAUUAGGUAGUUGGUGGGGUAAUGGCCUACCAAGCCUGAGAUGUCUAGGGGGUGUGAGAGCAUGGCCCCCACCACUGGGACUGAGAUACUGCCCAGACACCUACGGGUGGCUGCAGUCGAGGAUCUUCGUCAAUGGGCGAAAGCCUGAACGAGCGACGCCGCGUGCGGGAUGAAGGCCCUUGGGUUGUAAACCGCUGUCAGGGGGGAUGAAACCGUAGGGUUGACAGAGCCCCAGAGGAAGCACGGGCUAAGUUCGUG
RNAcentral lists this ribosomal RNA (462 nucleotides) under uncultured bacterium. Its description in RNAcentral is "bacterial SSU rRNA". It matches the Rfam family "Bacterial small subunit ribosomal RNA", at positions 8 to 507 of the family's 1533-position model. The record is from RNAcentral.